Molecule: long non-coding RNA, 2649 nt
Filed under: Salmo salar (Atlantic salmon)
Lineage: Eukaryota; Metazoa; Chordata; Actinopteri; Salmoniformes; Salmonidae
Description: lncRNA (ENSSSAG00000099425.1)
Source: RNAcentral
GCAGAGUUUGUGAGUGGUCAGCCUGGGGACAGUGAGACUGAGAUGCGCGUUCACGAGACUACUCCAUUUUUUUCUUUCAGCCUUUGAAUGAAUACAACGUUGCCCGGUUGGAAUAUUAUCGCUAUUUUAUGAGAAAAAUAGCAUAAAAAUUGAUUUUAAACAGCGUUUGACAUGCUUCUAAGUACGGAAUAUUUUGAAUUUUCUUGUCACGAAAUGCGCUCGUGCGUCACCCUUUCGGAUAGUGACCUGAACGCACAAACAAAACGGAGCUAUUUGAAUAUAACUAUGGAUUAUUUGGAACCAAAACAACAUUUGUUGUUGAAGUAGAAGUCCUGGGAAUCCAUUCUGAUGAAGAACAGCAAAGGCAGAGCUCCAAGCCUCAUGGACAGAAGGAUGGCGACUGUUUGUGUCUUUUCUCCCAUUCUGCCCAGAUUUGGCCACGAGUGUCUCCUUCUCUCUCUCUCUCUCUCUCUCUCUCUCUCUCUCUCUCUCUCUCUCUCUCUCUGUCUGUCUGUCUGUCUGUCUGUCUGUCUGUCGACUGAAAAUGUGUCCUCUCUCAGGAAUCCUCCUGUAGAGCAGUGAUGUCUCAGGUUAGAGAUGUACCAAGUUAAGUCUCCAGCAGGACAAGUUGACUGUGGAAACCUCUGCAGCUGACACCAGCUCUUCCCAGAAGGAUUAUAAGCAAAAAGGGAACUUGAUUGAGGAUGUAUUCACUUCUGCAACAUCGGGCUUAGGAAGAGUUGCAAGAAAGAGGACCGAAAGCAGACCAAUGACCAGACCCAAACUCCCCCCCCCACCUGAACAAGAUGCCCGGUUGAGGCGGCUACCGAGGACUGAGCAGCUAAUCGCCGGGGAGCAGCAGAAGCAGCAACAGCAACAACAACCACCAGACUAGAAACCAUGACCCACCUGGAAUUUAGCAGGGCAGUACUCCAGAGAGGUAGGGGCUUUGUGAAGUCUGACCUGAACUGCCUGGUGAAACUCGCAGGACCACCAGAAUCAUAUGAAGCCAGUUUCAAGAUCCCCCAGUUACUAGAACAGUUUUGGUUAAAAUUCAGAAACACCCUUUCCGACACAGAAUCCAAGGUAGUUACUGUACAGCUCCACAAUGAAUGCCUCCAGGACUAUCACCACCCUCAAGUCAGUGUCUAGGAGGGUCCUGGAUGAAGACAACAUCUGGACUGGGGAACAAAAAUGGCUGGUCCAGUUAAGACUGGAUCUAACCGGAGUUGGCAGAGUCCAUCACCUCCCAAGCACCAUCACGCUGCAUGGGUAACAACAGAAACUCCGUCCACUACUACAGCAUGCCCAAACUGUGCAGGAACUGCAGCCAACUGGGCCAUCUGGCCGCAUCCCGAACAGCUUUCAUCUCAAGAGUUGUAAAGACAAUCAUCCCACCUCAGACUUUACUUCCACAUGCCCCUGCAACCUGUGUGGUAAAGGGGGCCACUUCUUCAGAACCUGCCCUAGUUUCUAUGCCGGUAAGCCAAGGGCUAAUGCCACCAAAGCCCAAACCCACCAACCUCCAACCCCUUCACAAAACAACAACAACGAAGACUCAGAACCAGUCCCAGACCUUUCCACAGGCUUCAACCAACCCACCACCCAAUACGUCCCAGAAAUGGCUCCCACCCCUGUCAACACAUCAAGAUAUCCCAGAAACAGUCCCCAAUGCCACCUCUGUCCCCCUCCAACAAAUCCUUUCCUAGCCAACUUCACCCUCUCCAAACCCCUGGUCAAAGGGGAGCCGGUUUCGAGUUAGGCCAUAGAACCGGAAGAACCACUCGCCUCACAACUCCAAAAUGACCAAAUGGAAAAGACUAGAAAAACAGCAGAUCAACAAGAGACCAGACCAUAAAAACACCCCAGAACCCAAACCACACCGCCAGCAAGAAUGACCCUCAAAACCCCCUAUCCCCUCCAAGAAACCAUCUCCCCCUCCUAAACCCAUCGAUAUAUCACCCCCCCAUCCAUUACUUCAUCUGAUAUCUUCUCCCUGCCCCUUACUGCCCCAUAUCCUCCCUCCCACCACCAACUGCCCUUGACCCCUCUACCAUUACCCCUACUACCCCUGACUCUUCCCCCCUGCUCCUUAGAUCCAACCCCCCUUAGCGCUGCCUGGCCCUGAUCCCGCAGAGCAGUAAACCAGCCAGCCUCAGUCCAAACCCCCAAACACUCUGAGCCACCUUCACCCCUCAUGUCACCCUCCAUCCCUCCACCCAGUCAGUACAGGGGGCCACCAGUCAGUCAGUGGGGCAGCAUGUCAACAUCCUGUGAACAGCCAAGAAUCACCCAACAACACAAACGACUCGCUAGAGGCCCUCAUCCACCUCCCAUACCCCUGCUUCUUCACCAUCCAUUUCCCCCUUCCUCCUCCUACACUUAUCCCUCUCACAGAACCAGACCAGGAACCAUUCAUCACCACGCCAGAAGAGGAAGGAACAAAGGUAUAGACAUAUGCUCGGAGCAAGCAGGCCACAGAGGAGUACCAUCACUGACCUCUGAGUCUUGGGCUUCCAGUUGUCUCUGCUCGCUCCUUUGGUUGUUCUUCCUCCCCUCUUCAAAUCCAGUACCAGUCCCAGCACCAACCCAGUUCUUGGUUUCUAGUACCAGACCUGCCAGACGAGGCCUGGAGGAGGGACAAAAUAU